Cavia porcellus (domestic guinea pig) is the source of this 1174-nucleotide long non-coding RNA. RefSeq lists it as uncharacterized. The transcript is spliced from 3 exons. NCBI's taxonomy places the organism in Eukaryota, Metazoa, Chordata, Mammalia, Rodentia, Caviidae. The record is from RefSeq and is a predicted model, not a curated record.
GAGACUUAAGAUCUUUUUAAUGUAUUCAUCAGGGGUGCAUCUGAAAGGGGAAAGAGUGAGCUGAAUGGAUCCAUUAAUUUAAUUGAAGCGAGCUCAGACAAGAGAUAAAACAUCGCAGCCUGUUCCUUUUCAUGAGUACGAGCGAGCACAGUAGUAAACAGGCAGAAAUACAAAUACACGCAAAAGAAAUAAAGGUACACAGAGACUCUAGAGACUUCAAGGCCAUGGGAUCUCAACAGAUGCAGAGGUGAAUUAACCCUGAAGAAGCCCUCUUCGUGCACUGCGGUCACUGUUCAGUCUUUCUUGGAAACUGAAAUACCCCGAGGUUGCAUUUUAAGAGAUGUCAUAAUUUAGCUGUGGGCUGGAAGAACAAAGAAGCUGACUCAUGCCUUCUCAUGAGCCCCGCUGUGCUUGUAGACUGGAAGGAGGACCAAGAAGCCAACUUGUACCUUUCUGGAGUCAGCAGCUACCAUAUGGGCCUAGAGGAGAACCAAGAAGCCAAGGCACACCCUUCCAUGAGCCAGUGGCAGUUGUGUGUUGAGUGGAGAAACAAGAAGCCAACUUGUACCCCCUCAUUGGCCAGCAACAGCCAUGCAGGCAAAAAGGAGAACCAAGAAUCAGCUGCCCUCCCGUGAGCCACCUGGUGUGUGGGCUGAGUCAAGAGUUCCCCUCCCUCAAAUAAGCAACCAGCUGAUUUGAGGAAACACAGACUGAGGUCUGCCUCAUCUUUCUUUCUUUGACCAACAAGUGGCCUUUCUCAAGUUCAACUGCUGACAUGAACCAAAUGACCAGAAAUCAUUCAUGAAAGGAGAACAAACAAUGUGUCAUGUAAUAUAUGAUUGAUGAAUCUCAGGCAAUGUUCAGUAGCACAUUCAUAAUAUUUAUUAAUUUUGGUGGUAUAUUAUUAAAUUUUAAAUUAUGUGCAUAUAUCUAUGUAAGUCUUUUGCUUUGAUACUAUCAUUUGAUAAUUAAUCUGAGAUUAUUGAUUCACAAUUUCUACAUACUCAUAACCGAGAGUUAUUUGAAAACUUUGCAUUUAGUAUAGAAUAUUGCUUAGCUAUACCCAUAAUGUUAAUUGUUCAAUAAAUAUUUAAAGCAUACAUUUUAACUUGAAUUACAUUUCAUUUGCAAGAUUGACUCUAAAGGACAGAUUUAUUUUAUUUUGAAAUUAGAA